UGCAACCAUCCCUCAAUCAGGCCCUUUUAAAAAUGUGAAAGCAUUCAACAACUGGUUUUCUUCUCUGCCUCAAAGCUGGCUUCCUGAUUCAAAGAGAUAUCGGGAUCCUUAUCGAGACUAUCUACCAGACAAUGGAGCCAUCAGGUUGACUCAUGGAGGCUUGCAUCAGAGCAAUAUUCUAAUUUCACCAGCUGGUCACCCAUGUGUCCUUGCUGUAGUUGAUUGGGCUCAUGCUGGUUGGUACCCGGAAUACUGGGAGUAUUGCAAGGCCUUAUACACAUCAGACUAUAAGGGGGAAUGGCGCAAUGUUUGGGUUCCCAAAUUCUUAACUGUGUACGAGCCUGAGUUUGCUGCUUUCAGUGAAUAUGUGCUGCAGAUUGGAGCAGUGUAAGUAUUGAUGUUGUACUUAGCCUUCUAAAUUACAUUUGUCA
Molecule: small RNA, 431 nt
Filed under: Histoplasma ohiense
Lineage: Eukaryota; Fungi; Ascomycota; Eurotiomycetes; Onygenales; Ajellomycetaceae
Description: hypothetical lncRNA
Source: RNAcentral